UACGUAGGGGGCGAGCGUUGUCCGGAUUUAUUGGGCGUAAAGAGCGUGUAGGCGGCUUUACAGGUCCGUUGUGAAAACUCGAGGCUCAACCUCGAGACGCCGGUGGAAACCGUAAAGCUAGAGUCCGGAAGAGGAGAGUGGAAUUCCUGGUGUAGCGGUGAAAUGCGCAGAUAUCAGGAGGAGCACCUAUUGCGAAGGCAGCUCGCUGGGACGUAACUGACGCUGAGACGCGAAAGCGUGGGGAGCAAACAGG
Molecule: ribosomal RNA, 253 nt
Filed under: uncultured bacterium
Lineage: Bacteria
Description: partial 16S ribosomal RNA
Rfam family: Bacterial small subunit ribosomal RNA
Source: RNAcentral